UAGUCAUGGUUAAGUGGGAAACGAUGUGGGAAGGCCCAGACAGCCUGGAUGUUGGCUUAGAAGCAGCCAUAAUUUAAAGAAAGCGUAAUAGCUCACUGGUCGAGUCGGCCUGCGCGGAAGUUGUAACGGGGAUAAACCAUGCACCGAAGCUGCGGCAGCGACACUAUGUGUUGUUGGGUAGGGGAG
This 186-nucleotide ribosomal RNA is filed under the name Escherichia coli. RNAcentral's name for it is "partial 23S ribosomal RNA". It matches the Rfam family "Bacterial large subunit ribosomal RNA", at positions 1050 to 1236 of the family's 2925-position model. The record is from RNAcentral. Lineage: Bacteria; Pseudomonadati; Pseudomonadota; Gammaproteobacteria; Enterobacterales; Enterobacteriaceae.